Molecule: long non-coding RNA, 2819 nt
Organism: Vespa velutina
Lineage: Eukaryota; Metazoa; Arthropoda; Insecta; Hymenoptera; Vespidae
Exons: 2
Source: RefSeq, a predicted model, not a curated record
AGAGAUAGAAAAUAGUUACGCAGACUUUAUGCGCUAAUGAUAUUUUUUUUUUCCUUUUUUUUUUUUUUUUCUUUCUUUUCCUUCUUUCAGUUGCUCCACGAGUUUUAUUUCGAAUAUUCAUUGGCAUUCACGUUUUAUAUUAUUUUUCAUACCGAUAGCUCAGUCACCGUUUAACGUUACCGACGUAUUAAUCUGUCGUAAUAGCUUACCUUAUAUCGCAGUUGCAAUUUAUAUAAAUUUCUUUUUUCCAUAAUAUCACGAUAGAUAUGAAAUUUUCUUCGUGCGUAUAUAAACUUACGAUCCUACCUAGUUUUUUACAAUCCUCUUAAUGUCUCCAUUCCGAUGCAAUUAUAGGAAUAUUCCAUCAAAUUUAUGCAGCGUUCGCGUCACGUCAUCACGAUAUUUUUCCGCUCGUUAUAUUUCCUACAGCUGAUAUCAUCGCCGUCGUCAUUUUCUUUCAUUUCUUAUUCAGUUUGCAUUUAAUAAUAAAACGUAUAAAGUAUACACAUAGAUUUGAGAAAUUUUUUACGAGCUCGAUUUCGUUAUGUUACAAUGAAAGUCGUUUAAAUGAAAAAUAAUAGCGAUCGAGAAAAGAAGAAUUUCUUUUAAAAGAGAAUAAUUUAUGAAGGUCCUUCGAAGAGAGUUUGGAAGAUCAAUGAGAAAGUGCGAUUCGAACGGUAUCGACCUUCGGUUAGAAAGAACAAAAGAGUAUCGGCAGUGAGGUCACUUAGAUAUUGGCAAACGCGUGCCUUGCACGCAAUAACGCUUUCUACGUUCCGGAACCAUAAAUAACAUUCAGAAAGAUCACUGAGACUAGAUUAAAGCGAUCCGUUACGUACGAAACACCGGUCGGAAAGAAAAUUUGAAUAAUAUCGAACAUUAGCGAGCAGCGUAGCUUUACACGAAAGCCGCGAGGAUAGUGCAUCGAGUCGCAUCGUUCUUAUACCUCCAUUCUACUUUUUUUCUUCUAUCUUUCUUUUCCUUCUUUUUCUUAUCCUCUCGUCGCCCUUCUCUCUUCCCUUCACCGCUGAGUGCCUCAUGGUAUCAGUGACACGGAAAACAUGGCAGUUCGACGGCGCGCAGAGAGAAGUCGAUGUAGCAGGAAAACAAGCGUAAGAGCGCAGGAACCGUGGAAUAUAUUUAUAGCCGCCUCGAGCUAUUAAGAUAAUUUAUCGGGGCCAUUACCGAACAAACGAGAGCAUUAAUCUAUUCUAGCUUCAUAAAGAGAACUUCGUCGACGAUUUUGUAGCCCGCGCGCCAAACGAGCACUUCGGAGUAAAUUGAUGGAUCCCCCUGACCUGACGGAGGACCCUCCGUAAAUUGCUCGUAAAUUUUUAUUUAUUCCACCACAAAUAAAAGUCUCCGUAACAGUGGAGAGAGAGAAGGAAAAAAGGGGGAGAAGAAGGGAGGAGGAUGGUUCUUGGUCUCCUGCUAGGACGACUCUCACAAAGUGCACGCACGCACGCACACGUACAAAUACACGCUCUCUCUCUCUCUGUCUCUCUCUCUCUUUCUCUUUUUUUUCUCGCUAGAGCUGUCUGGUGGAGUUCGUCGAUCGCCGAUCGCUAAUAGAAGUCCGACGGUUCUCAUCCAUCGUGAGCCGUUGCGCCAUUGCAUGACACCUCGACUUUACGAUUCUCCGAUAUUUAUGUCGACCGUUGGGUCACCGUGUCUUCCGUUUGAAACGUACUUUAUGCGAUCCUUGCGCGUAGCAGCCGUCGUUUUAACGAACUUUACGAGCGAAAUGUGCCUGGAAUGUAUAACUAUAAUAUUAUAACGCCGUUCUUAAUCUCAUAGUUCGUUGCCAAGAUAAUUUGGCGAUGAAACGAUGCGUCGGAUUUUUUAUUCGAUGGAGGAAGGGGAAAAGGUGAGGCGAGAAAGAGGAUCGCAAUAAAAUCAUCAUCCUUGAUCUCUUUCUUAAGAGAUUAGCUACCUAAUCUUCUUAACGAAGUCGUCGAGAGCCAAACGUUUACCACUUUCUUAAGACACCUCUUGGAGUCGAGCAUGUAUUGGAAGGCAAAGAUGGCCGACGAGGAAAGAAAAAAAGUGGAAAGCGACGCGACAGGUGAUGGAUCGUGGCAUCGUCGUUAACGCGUUCGUGUCUUCGUCGUUCGUGUAUUUGUCUUCGAAGUUAAAUCCGUUACGCAGGAAGCUCGAUUAUUUCUCGACGUUCCGCGUGCAACAUAUACAUGCAUAUAGAUACCUAUACAUAUAACGGAUAACGAAUAACGAAAGGAAGAGGAGCGACGAAUCCGCGUAAGAGAGUCGUAGGCACGUAGGCAAUACAUCCGCCUACGGCGACUAUCCGCAACACAACGCCGGAAAGGUUCGCGUUGAAUCCCAGUGGCGUGACAGGCUGCCUACGCGCGGCUGUAUCUGCAUUGAUCAAAGCAGCAAUUACUGUCAUCGUAAUAUUACUCGGGACGUUACUCACGUCGUGGGGGCAGCGCUCGGGAGAGAAAGAGGGAAGACAACUGCGAUAGCAGCGCCACGACCGAACCGCGACGAAGCCGCGACGGAGCCGCGAAAAAGCCGCGGCAGCACCGCGACAAUGCCACGUUGGCACCGCACCGAUCGCAGCGCCAACUUCCAAGCUCCGACUUCCAGCAGCGUUUAAACGAUUUUACCUAAGGAUGGCAACUUUGGAGAUUUUCCUUCUUCGCAUACAAAGGGAAAAAUGGAAAAAUUGUCUUUUGUUUGCACUGCGAAAACUAAGAAGCAUUGUUCCAAUUUAAAAACAACGAUAUGUCUACAUACAAAGAAUAUAAAAAAAUAUUCGAGUUAAAUAAAUCACAAACACUUAUUAUUUUAGGACAAUA